UACGUAGGGGGCAAGCGUUGUCCGGAUUUAUUGGGCGUAAAGAGCGUGUAGGCGGUUAUACAGGUCCGCUGUGAAAACUCGAGGCUCAACCUCGAGACGUCGGUUGAAACCGUACGGCUAGAGUCCGGAAGAGGAGAGUGGAAUUCCCGGUGUAGCGGUGAAAUGCGCAGAUAUCGGGAAGAACACCCGUGGCGAAGGCGGCUCUCUGGGACGGUACUGACGCUGAGACGCGAAAGCGUGGGGAGCGAACAGG
RNAcentral lists this ribosomal RNA (253 nucleotides) under uncultured bacterium. RNAcentral describes it as "partial 16S ribosomal RNA". It matches the Rfam family "Bacterial small subunit ribosomal RNA", at positions 524 to 776 of the family's 1533-position model. The record is from RNAcentral.